CCCGCACAAGCGGUGGAUGAUGUGGAUUAAUUCGAUGCAACGCGAAGAACCUUACCUACCCUUGACAUGUCCGGAACUUGCCAGAGAUGGCUUGGUGCCCGAAAGGGAAUCGGAACACAGGUGCUGCAUGGCUGUCGUCAGCUCGUGUCGUGAGAUGUUAGGUUAAGUCCCGCAACGAGCGCAACCCUUGUCAUUAGUUGCCAUCAUUUGGUUGGGCACUCUAAUGAGACUGCCGGUGACAAACCGGAGGAAGGUGGGGAUGACGUCAAGUCCUCAUGGCCCUUAUGGGUAGGGCUUCACACGUCAUACAAUGGUCGGUACAGAGGGUUGCCAACCCGCGAGGGGGAGCUAAUCCCACAAAGCCGAUCGUAGUCCGGAUCGCAGUCUGCAACUCGACUGCGUGAAGUCGGAAUCGCUAGUAAUCGUGGAUCAGCAUGUCACGGUGAAUACGUUCCCGGGUCUU
This 463-nucleotide ribosomal RNA is filed under the name uncultured Rhodocyclaceae bacterium. RNAcentral describes it as "bacterial SSU rRNA". It matches the Rfam family "Bacterial small subunit ribosomal RNA", at positions 920 to 1382 of the family's 1533-position model. Lineage: Bacteria; Pseudomonadati; Pseudomonadota; Betaproteobacteria; Rhodocyclales; Rhodocyclaceae. The record is from RNAcentral.